AAAGCGUGCGCAGGCGGUUAUAUAAGACAGAUGUGAAAUCCCCGGGCUCAACCUGGGAACUGCAUUUGUGACUGUAUAGCUGGAGUACGGCAGAGGGGGAUGGAAUUCCGCGUGUAGCAGUGAAAUGCGUAGAUAUGCGGAGGAACACCGAUGGCGAAGGCAAUCCCCUGGGCCUGUACUGACGCUCAUGCACGAAAGCGUGGGGAGCAAACAGGAUUAGAUACCCCUGU
Molecule: ribosomal RNA, 230 nt
Filed under: uncultured bacterium
Lineage: Bacteria
Description: partial 16S ribosomal RNA
Rfam family: Bacterial small subunit ribosomal RNA
Source: RNAcentral